This 77-nucleotide transfer RNA is filed under the name Spiroplasma corruscae. RNAcentral's name for it is "tRNA-Ile". It matches the Rfam family "tRNA". Rfam says of the family: Transfer RNA (tRNA) molecules are approximately 80 nucleotides in length. Their secondary structure includes four short double-helical elements and three loops (D, anti-codon, and T loops). Further hydrogen bonds mediate the characteristic L-shaped molecular structure. tRNAs have two regions of fundamental functional importance: the anti-codon, which is responsible for specific mRNA codon recognition, and the 3' end, to which the tRNAs corresponding amino acid is attached (by aminoacyl-tRNA synthetases). tRNAs cope with the degeneracy of the genetic code in two manners: having more than one tRNA (with a specific anti-codon) for a particular amino acid; and 'wobble' base-pairing, i.e. permitting non-standard base-pairing at the 3rd anti-codon position. RNAcentral also lists the same sequence under 4 other names. Lineage: Bacteria; Bacillati; Mycoplasmatota; Mollicutes; Entomoplasmatales; Spiroplasmataceae. The record is from RNAcentral.
CGGAGCAUAGCUCAGCUGGUUAGAGCGCACCCCUGAUAAGGGUGAGGUCGGUGGUUCAAGUCCACUUGUUCCGACCA